Molecule: long non-coding RNA, 1461 nt
Filed under: Sorghum bicolor (sorghum)
Lineage: Eukaryota; Viridiplantae; Streptophyta; Magnoliopsida; Poales; Poaceae
Description: long non-coding RNA (SBIC_LNC000205)
Source: RNAcentral
GGCGCCCGCAGCAUCGGUGGUGGGAUCAUCGGACGGGAUCGAUUUGAAACGCCGUGACGAUCGAGCAGCUAGUGCCGUGCCGGCCGCCGAGUAGGACGUACGACGUAGGGGUUGGUACGACGGAGAUGCAUGCAUCCAGCCGGGCUUCCAUAGCAGUAGGUAGGUGCCCGCCGUUCGUGUGCUUCCUCGGAUCCUCCACUCUCUGUCCACGUCACGUCGCGUCGUCACCUUUCAGCGAUCAAAAUAACGACGCCGCGGCCUUCCACUCAGUGCAGUGCAUUGUAGUACUCUGUGUCGCCGGCCGCACUUGGAUCGAUACGAUCGUGUCGGGGCGCGCAUUGGGGGUCGUAAGCGAGUUUCGAUUCCAGGAAGGCCAUCCAUAUGAUCGACUGGGGUGGGCGUGGGCCGUUGCCACUCUUUCGGUCAUCACCGAUAGAUUAUAGUUUUUUUUUUUUUGCGUUGUAUGAACAGCUGGCCUCCCCAACACAUCCCAUCGAACACUAGUACUCCGUAUAGUAGGAGUAGAUUGUAGAUACACUAGUGUAAUUCACACGAACAACAACAACCACCGCCUAUGGUUUCUGGGAGAACUGAACACGGUGUGUGUGUGUGCCUGUGUUCAGAUGUGGCCCAUCGGAUCUUGCGUUUUCCUUUUUGCCCGGCAAAUACUAAGGGCACUCACAAUGCAAGAUUACAUAGUCCAAGACAAUUAAUUACAUAUUAUUUAUAGUAUUUUGCUGAUGUGGCAGCAAAGAUGUAGAAAAAAUAAGACUCUAAAUCUUAUUUAAACUCUCUAACACAUUAUUCGAGGUAAUAAAUAACUUUAGACUCUAUAAUAGAGUCUGCAUUGUGAGUGCCCUAAAACGGAUAGCUAGGUAGUGAAUAAUCUGGUGUCUUUUUGGUUCAUGUAUUGAUGUUGCUUACUUACCUCCACAUAUAUAUUAUUCUAUGGCCACAUUGAGUUACGUUAAUUAUUAUGGUAAUUUACGAGAUCUCCUUACUAAGUGGUCUAUUAUAAUAUUACGGUUAAUAUCUUCAUGUGUUAAAGUAACCUAACUAUCGUAAAUAUGUAUACAUAUUAUUGUAAAUUAGUAUAUAAAAUUAUCAUAAAUAGAUGUGACUAUAAAAUAACUUAUUUUUUAGCUGGCUAUACCCUCCCUAUAUAUAUGCUGAUGACUGGCAAUGAUGGUAGCUAACUGUCAGGCUGUCAGGCUGUCUUCAUGAACAAUGCAUGACAUACGACGAUACUGCAGAUUUUGUUUGGAUUAAUAAACUGCACUUAUUGACUUCAGAUUUGCUAUACAAAUUUGCUUCUAGGCUGUUCGGGCCUUGUUUAGUUCCAAAAAUUUUUGGGAAAUCGACACUGUAGCACUUUCGUUUGUAUUUGACAAAUAUUAUCUAAUCAUGGACUAACUAGGCUUAAAAAUUCGUCUCGUCAGUUUCGACCAAACUGUGCAAUUA